GAAAUGCGAUAAGUAGUGUGAAUUGCAGAAUUCAGUGAAUCAUCGAAUCUUUGAACGCACAUUGCGCCCCUUGGUAUUCCAUGGGGCAUGCCUGUUCGAGCGUCAUUUGUACCCUCAAGCUCUGCUUGGUGUUGGGUGUUUGUCCCCGUCUCCGCGCGUGGACUCGCCCCAAAGUGAUUGGCAGCCGGCGUACUGGUCCCGGAGCGCAGCACAUGUCGCGCAAACGAGUGCCUUGGUACGGCGGCGUCCAUAAGCCCCUCUCUCACGCUCUUGACCUCGGAUCAGGUAGGGAUACCCUCUGAACUUAAGC
This 310-nucleotide unclassified non-coding RNA is filed under the name plant metagenome. Its description in RNAcentral is "partial contains 5.8S ribosomal RNA, internal transcribed spacer 2, and large subunit ribosomal RNA". The stretch from base 1 to 105 matches the Rfam family "5.8S ribosomal RNA", at positions 50 to 154 of the family's 154-position model. The record is from RNAcentral.